Morus notabilis is the source of this 627-nucleotide long non-coding RNA. RefSeq lists it as uncharacterized. NCBI's taxonomy places the organism in Eukaryota, Viridiplantae, Streptophyta, Magnoliopsida, Rosales, Moraceae. The record is from RefSeq and is a predicted model, not a curated record. The transcript has 3 exons.
CCUCUCAUAGGUUGGUGCUAAAGAGCAUUGGGUAUAAAUCAUUACCAGUUGAUGGCUUACCCUUUGAUCAUAAAAAAGGUAUUGUUCCAAACAUUAAAGGUCGAGUUAUAAGUGAUGCGCAAAAAGAUCCUCCAGUUCUUGAGAAGGGUUUGUAUGUAUGCGGAUGGUUAAAGAGAGGACCAACAGGAAUCAUUGGCACAAACCACUAUUGCGCUGAAGAAACUGUCGCAAGUAUAUCGGAAGACGUUGAGCGAGGAUUAGUGGCGUCCUCAGCUAGCUUGCCCAAGCCUGGCAGAGAGGGUCUCCUCCAGGUGCUGGAUGAUCGUAAUGUUAGAGUUCUACCAUUUAGUGCUUGGGAAAAAAUAGAUUCUGAAGAAAGGCGGCUUGGGAGUUUAAGAAACAAACCCAGGGAGAAACUGGUAACAUGGGAAGACAUAAUGAAAGUAGCAGACUAGCAGCUGAAUAAUGUUUUCAACCAGUUUUUAUUUUUAAUUUAUUUCAGGUUUCUCACAAAAUAAUGGAAAGGUUGAUAUGUGACAUUGAUGCGAUUCAUUUUUCCUGUUGUAAUAUCCUACAUAAGUUUGUUGUCAAGAAUUCAAUUAUUUUUUUAAUAGAAGAAUUUUUAUG